UCCACAUCUAGGUUCCCUUCCCCUGCUGCCGCCGCCUCUCGCUUCCACGAGAGUCCUCCCGCCGCCGCCACCGCUCUCUCUCCUCCUCGCCCCCAACCUCAUGGCUCCUUCCCCUCACGGCAGCGGCGGCCUCUCCCUGCAACAAGGUUGAGGGUGGCGCAAACGCCAGCGCUCUCGUGAGCGCGAGUCUGGAUCUUCAGAAGAGGAAGACUAGGGAGGCCCUAGCUAGGGCCACUCAGCAAGCACCACUGCAGGGGCAGCUCUCCAUGUGCGGAGACGCUCCUUCUCCUCCUCAGCUUUUCAGUUGCUCCAGUGGGAUCCCAAGAAUGAAUAGAAUAUGAAGGAUUUAGGGGUAGAGCUUGAUGACACAUGUAGCAUGUCACGCACAUGAACAACAAUUCAAGCUAGCAGCAGCGAUGCAAGCAAGAACUCAGGUCCCCAGAUGUAGCUUUAUCUCCCCUGUUGACACCCUAUUAUAUAUUUAAUAAAUAUAUCAGUGUCGAUUGACAAUUUUCUCGUAUACGUUUGCUCUUUAUUUGCGGACCAAUAUUACCAUAUGCUGCAUGAGACACCAGAUCAGGUGAAUAAGUUUUAUUAAGAUACCAACAAAGAUUGGCCGGCCAGGUUCUGAUGGAGUCAUGGAAUAUGUUGCAAUAUUGCAUGUAAGUUUUAUCAAGAUACCAGCAGGAUUGGUCGGCCAGGUUCUGAUGGAGUCAUGGAAUAUGUAGCAAUAUUGCCUGUAAGCUCUACUAUGUGAAUUUAUUGCUACAACCGGUUCAACUUUAACCUGAACUAACUCUCCUUAUUUCCAUCUCUUCUGUGUGGUACGCUCUCUUUUUACAUGGUAUAUACCUCAAAGUGAAUAUCGCCAUAUAAAUCUGCUGAUAAUAUUAUGGUUGUCUUCUGGAGUUGUCAAAAAUAGAUCAUUGAUGCUGGUUUCAGGCUUGUUAGCUCCUGUAUUAAUUGAUUUCCUAUGAUGUCAAUUGUUAUGGUGCUAAAUUUAUUUGUUGUAUUGCAAUAUCCGAAUAAUCUUUUAUCUUUCACAAGUAGAAACUGUUACGCCACUUUAUUUGGCUUUUUUUCUCAUAUGUAGUACACAAUAGUGUAGAUAUUUGUUUGCACCGAAACUUUGUUUUUCAUAGGAUUAAAUGAGUAUGAAACAAUGGAGGUUAUGGUGAUCCCUACCGUAAUAUGCUUUUUGGUUUCUUGUGAGCUUACUUCCACGUUAAAAAUCAGGUAGUAUAACUAUUGUUUUUUGUUUCUUAUUUCUUAUGAUGAAAGUGAUUGAAGCAUACGAUUUAGUCUAUUGCUGAUUCGCCAUGUUGUGUGAGGCAGUUCCUUCCCAUUGCCCCAUAAUGAUCUUUAGUUUUCACGUAAGCAGCCAAUAACUAUUUUGUAUAUUUGGUAGGACGUAAAGGCUAUUCUAAUAUUUCAGCCAUGCUUAUUGAAAAUGUAAUUCAUUCAAGCCGUGAUUUUUAUUGUUAGCAUGCUACCAUCCAUUUUAGUUAUGGAUUAUCGUAGGUGCAAGGUAUGGCUUCCACAGUGACUAUACUCUUUUCCUGUCUUUUAACCUAAGGUUGCAUUUACUGUUUACAAUGGAAACUAUUUAUUGUAAAUCCAGUAUAAUUGUUGAUCUUUGAAUAUUUUUGUCCAUUGAACACUUAAUUAUGUUUUAUUUCCUCUUUUAUCCAUUAAAUAGAUGUACCCCAAAUAUGAUUUUUUCGUGCUCGUUUAUUCUUUUUUGACAUUGAUGCAAAUAUUUUUUCCCAUUUCCCACUUAAUCAUGUUUUAUUUCCUCUUUUAUCCAUUAACUAGAUAUACCCCAAAUAUGAAAAUUUCUUCGUGCUCGUUGAUUCUUGUUUGACAUUGAUUCAAAUAUUGCUGGUUGUGACUGUCCGUGAAACAUCAUUCUUCAAAUCAUGCAAGUAAAUGUGAUUUAUUGGAUUUUUCUUUAGCAAGAUGUGGCUCUGGUUGUGGGGCUUGAGAUAAUUUUUUAUGUCAAAAUGCACAAGAGAGCAAUCAGCUUAGUUCCUGCUUGCUGGAUUUGCUCCAGUGAUGCUUUGCACUCCCAUCAUCACCAUGUCAGCAUAUUAUUUAUUUCUGUUUGUGCUAGCUUAUCCUAUUGAUGUUAAUUAAGUACAGAUUUGAACCUGUACUGACUAACAAAAUUGUGAAGAAAAUAUAUUGUCGUGUCCUUACUCCCUACUAUGUAGUCUAUAACGAUGAACAAAAUGUUUGUAUAACAUGGAAAUUGUAUAGAUAAUAAAUUAGUAACAUAUUUACAAGCUACCGAAAAGAAAGAUCUUAUGCAUGCCGGAUGGAAUCCAAAUCAGUGAGGGACACCUAAUGUUUGAACCUGACCAAGAUCAUGGCUCUAUUCGCGAACAACUUCAGCGGCAGAUGUGAUGUUAUUUUGAUCUGAGAUUUCAUCCAACUGCAAAAUCUGUCUUAGCAUGUAAAAGGUAUGUAUGCUGACCAAUAAUUCUUCAUGUAUUCCUUUAUUGGUUAGGAAUGGUGACGAAGCACAUAGGGAAAAGGUAGACCACAAUGGCCUGCUUCAGCUGAAGGUCAUAUUAACCAGUCAAUAGAGCAAAAGUUAUGGAAAUGUCUGUGGGCACAUUCUGUGGUACAAAAUACUAUUUUUCCUCUCUAAAAAUGACAUGUAAAGUCCGAAAUUUUGAAUUUUAUGAUAUGCCAAAAAGUGUGGAUAAAUAUGAAUGCAUGCUAAUGCCUCUUAAUAAUAAUACAUGCCGUGAAUAUCUGUCUAAUAGUGUACUUACUUGGUCCUCUAAUUUCUCCGGGGCUAUCUCUAACCGAUGAACACAUGUUACAGCUAAUGAUGAUAUUGAUUCGGUGCAGAGUUUCUUGUUUCAGGUUGGAGCAGGAGUCGCUGGAACCUUAAUGCAUGAAUAUAAGUUGGUUUUAUUUUUCUCUUCAGAUUUACCCAUUGAGUGCACCCAUAUGGUAUGCCAUAAUAAGAAGGAUUAGCUUUUACUUGGAUUUUGUAAAA
Lolium rigidum is the source of this 3010-nucleotide long non-coding RNA. RefSeq lists it as uncharacterized. NCBI's taxonomy places the organism in Eukaryota, Viridiplantae, Streptophyta, Magnoliopsida, Poales, Poaceae. The transcript is spliced from 2 exons. The record is from RefSeq and is a predicted model, not a curated record.